AACGAACGCUGGCGGCAUGCCCAACACAUGCAAGUCGAACGAGACCUUCGGGUCUAGUGGCGCACGGGUGCGUAACGCGUGGGAACCUGCCCUUAGGUUCGGAAUAACUCCCCGAAAGGGGUGCUAAUACCGGAUAAUGUCUUCGGACCAAAGAUUUAUCGCCUUUGGAUGGGCCCGCGUUGGAUUAGCUAGUUGGUAGGGUAAAAGCCUACCAAGGCGACGAUCCAUAGCUGGUCUGAGAGGAUGAUCAGCCGCACUGGGACUGAGACACGGCCCAGACUCCUACGGGAGGCAGCAGUGGGGAAUAUUGGACAAUGGGCGAAAGCCUGAUCCAGCAAUGCCGCGUGAGUGAUGAGGGCCUUAGGGUUGUAAAGCUCUUUUACCCGGGAUGAUAAUGACAGUACCGGGAGAAUAAGCUCCGGCUAACUCCGUG
RNAcentral lists this ribosomal RNA (433 nucleotides) under uncultured bacterium. RNAcentral describes it as "partial 16S ribosomal RNA". It matches the Rfam family "Bacterial small subunit ribosomal RNA", at positions 29 to 507 of the family's 1533-position model. The record is from RNAcentral.